GUAGGUGAACCUGCGGAAGGAUCAUUUCUGAUUUAGGUCCGUGAGAAAGGGGGGCAACUCUCUCCUUGCGUGACUUAAUAUGUGAUUGUGUGGUACAAGUGUGUGAACCUCUGGUCUUUCUUCACCGAAAGGCCAUGUUCCAACUUCUCUUUUGACUACAAAGCGAUAACUACUUUGAGGAUAUUCAAGUUUUCUUUUUCUUCUUGUCCUGCGGCAACGGUUGACAUAAAAGAGAAAAAAAAACAACAAA
Molecule: unclassified non-coding RNA, 250 nt
Filed under: plant metagenome
Description: partial contains small subunit ribosomal RNA, internal transcribed spacer 1, and 5.8S ribosomal RNA
Source: RNAcentral